Molecule: small nucleolar RNA, 105 nt
Organism: Nannospalax galili (Upper Galilee mountains blind mole rat)
Lineage: Eukaryota; Metazoa; Chordata; Mammalia; Rodentia; Spalacidae
Product: small nucleolar RNA U13
Exons: 1
Source: RefSeq, a predicted model, not a curated record
AUCCUUUUUUGUUUCGUAAGUGUGAUGAUUUGGUGUUCAUGCUAUUGAAUGAUAGGCCUCCCACGAAUCUUGUGAGGUUAACCUGGGCAGGUUAUCUGACUGACA